Molecule: ribosomal RNA, 207 nt
Filed under: uncultured bacterium
Lineage: Bacteria
Description: partial 16S ribosomal RNA
Rfam family: Bacterial small subunit ribosomal RNA
Source: RNAcentral
AGCGUAGACGGCUGUGCAAGUCUGAUGUGAAAGGCAGGGGCUCAACUCCUGGACUGCAUUGGAAACUGUGUAGCUUGAGUGCCGGAGAGGUAAGCGGAAUUCCUAGUGUAGCGGUGAAAUGCGUAGAUAUUAGGAGGAACACCAGUGGCGAAGGCGGCUUACUGGACGGUAACUGACGUUGAGGCUCAAAAGCGUGGGGAGCAAACA